UAGGGAAUCUUGCGCAAUGGGCGAAAGCCUGACGCAGCCAUGCCGCGUGAAUGAUGAAGGUCUUAGGAUUGUAAAAUUCUUUCACCGGGGAAGAUAAUGACGGUACCCGGAGAAGAAGCCCCGGCUAACUUCGUGCCAGCAGCCGCGGUAAUACGAAGGGGGCUAGCGUUGCUCGGAAUUACUGGGCGUAAAGGGCGCGUAGGCGGAUACUUAAGUCGGGGGUGAAAGCCCAGGGCUCAACCCUGGAAUAGCCUUCGAUACUGGGUAUCUUGAGUACGGGAGAGGUGAGUGGAACUCCGAGUGUAGAGGUGAAAUUCGUAGAUAUUCGGAAGAACACCAGUGGCGAAGGCGACUCACUGGCCCGUUACUGACGCUGAGGCGCGAAAGCGUGGGGAGCAAAC
RNAcentral lists this ribosomal RNA (401 nucleotides) under uncultured bacterium. RNAcentral describes it as "bacterial SSU rRNA". It matches the Rfam family "Bacterial small subunit ribosomal RNA", at positions 355 to 773 of the family's 1533-position model. The record is from RNAcentral.